AGAGUUUGAUCAUGGCUCAGAUUGAACGCUGGCGGCAUGCUUUACACAUGCAAGUCGGACGGCAGCACAGAGAAGCUUGCUUCUUGGGUGGCGAGUGGCGAACGGGUGAGUAACGCAUCGGAACGUACCGAGUAGUGGGGGAUAACUGUCCGAAAGGAUGGCUAAUACCGCAUACGCUUUGAGAAGGAAAGCGGGGGAUCUUCGGACCUCGCGCUAUUCGAGCGGCCGAUGUCUGAUUAGCUAGUUGGUGGGGUAAAGGCCUACCAAGGCGACGAUCAGUAGCGGGUCUGAGAGGAUGAUCCGCCACACUGGGACUGAGACACGGCCCAGACUCCUACGGGAGGCAGCAGUGGGGAAUUUUGGACAAUGGGCGCAAGCCUGAUCCAGCCAUGCCGCGUGUCUGAAGAAGGCCUUCGGGUUGUAAAGGACUUUUGUCAGGGAAGAAAAGCUUUGGGUUAAUACCCUGGAGUGAUGACGGUACCUAAAGAAUAAGCACCGGCUAACUACGUGCCAGCAGCCGCGGUAAUACGUAGGGUGCGAGCGUUAAUCGGAAUUACUGGGCGUAAAGCGAGCGCAGACGGUUUGUUAAGCAGGAUGUGAAAUCCCCGGGCUCAACCUGGGAACUGCGUUCUGAACUGGCAGGCUAGAGUAUGUCAGAGGGGGGUAGAAUUCCACGUGUAGCAGUGAAAUGCGUAGAGAUGUGGAGGAAUACCGAUGGCGAAGGCAGCCCCCUGGGAUAAUACUGACGUUCAUGCUCGAAAGCGUGGGUAGCAAACAGGAUUAGAUACCCUGGUAGUCCACGCCCUAAACGAUGUCAAUUAGCUGUUGGGGUGCUUGACACCUUAGUAGCGUAGCUAACG
RNAcentral lists this ribosomal RNA (860 nucleotides) under Pasteurella sp. 99bb. Its description in RNAcentral is "bacterial SSU rRNA". It matches the Rfam family "Bacterial small subunit ribosomal RNA", at positions 8 to 857 of the family's 1533-position model. The record is from RNAcentral. Lineage: Bacteria; Pseudomonadati; Pseudomonadota; Gammaproteobacteria; Pasteurellales; Pasteurellaceae.